GACGAACGCUGGCGGCGUGCUUAACACAUGCAAGUCGAACGGAAAGGCCCUGCUUGCAGGGUACUCGAGUGGCGAACGGGUGAGUAACACGUGGGUGAUCUGCCCUGCACUUCGGGAUAAGCCUGGGAAACUGGGUCUAAUACCGGCUAGGAGCCAUUUUUAGUGUGAUGGUUGGAAAGUUUUUUCGGUGUAGGAUGAGCUCGCGGCCUAUCAGCUUGUUGGUGGGGUAAUGGCCUACCAAGGCGGCGACGGGUAGCCGGCCUGUGAGGGUGGACGGCCACAUUGGGACUGAGAGGCGGCCCAGACACCGACGGGAGGCAGCAGUGGGGAAUAUUGCCCAAUGGGCGCAAGCCUGGUGCAGCGACGCCGCGUGGGGGAUGACGGCCUUCGGGUUGUAAACUCCUUGCGCUAGGGACGAAGCUUUUUGUGACGGUACCUAGAUAAGAAGCACCGGCUAACUACGUG
Molecule: ribosomal RNA, 465 nt
Filed under: uncultured bacterium
Lineage: Bacteria
Description: partial 16S ribosomal RNA
Rfam family: Bacterial small subunit ribosomal RNA
Source: RNAcentral